GACGAACGCUGGCGGCGUGCUUAACACAUGCAGGUCGAACGGAAAGGCCCUGCUUUUGUGGGGUGCUCGAGUGGCGAACGGGUGAGUAACACGUGAGUAACCUGCCCUUGACUUUGGGAUAACUUCAGGAAACUGGGGCUAAUACCGGAUAGGAGCUCCUGCUGCAUGGUGGGGGUUGGAAAGUUUCGGCGGUUGGGGAUGGACUCGCGGCUUAUCAGCUUGUUGGUGGGGUAGUGGCUUACCAAGGCUUUGACGGGUAGCCGGCCUGAGAGGGUGACCGGCCACAUUGGGACUGAGAUACGGCCCAGACUCCUACGGGAGGCAGCAGUGGGGAAUAUUGCACAAUGGGCGGAAGCCUGAUGCACCAACGCCGCGUGCGGGAUGACGGCCUUCGGGUUGUAAACCGCUUUCGCCUGUGACGAAGCGUGAGUGACGGUAAUGGGUAAAGAAGCACCGGCUAACUACGUG
This 468-nucleotide ribosomal RNA is filed under the name uncultured bacterium. RNAcentral describes it as "partial 16S ribosomal RNA". It matches the Rfam family "Bacterial small subunit ribosomal RNA", at positions 28 to 507 of the family's 1533-position model. The record is from RNAcentral.